UGGUUCUGGCAUCGAUGAAGAACGCAGCGAAAUGCGAUAAGUAAUGUGAAUUGCAGAAUUCAGUGAAUCAUCGAAUCUUUGAACGCACAUUGCGCCCUUUGGCAUUCCGAGGGGCAUGCCCGUUCGAGCGUCAUUUCACCAAUCAAGCCUGGCUUGGUAUUGGGCGAGGAGCGUCAGGCUCCCGCCCCCAAUCCGUCGGCUGGACGGUUCGAUUCUCAGCGUUGUGGUUUAAUCAAUUCGCUGCGGGAGACGACCGGACGCGCCGUUAAAACUCUCAUCACAGGUUGACCUCGGAUCGGGUAGGGAUACCCGCUGA
RNAcentral lists this unclassified non-coding RNA (316 nucleotides) under uncultured fungus. RNAcentral describes it as "partial contains 5.8S ribosomal RNA and internal transcribed spacer 2". The stretch from base 1 to 133 matches the Rfam family "5.8S ribosomal RNA", at positions 22 to 154 of the family's 154-position model. The record is from RNAcentral. Lineage: Eukaryota; Fungi.